RNAcentral lists this long non-coding RNA (5265 nucleotides) under Ananas comosus (pineapple). Its description in RNAcentral is "long non-coding RNA (ACOM_LNC022322)". Lineage: Eukaryota; Viridiplantae; Streptophyta; Magnoliopsida; Poales; Bromeliaceae. The record is from RNAcentral.
ACAGUAUAACUUUAUAAUGAGUAUUUUUUCUCAUUCUAUCGAACAAAGAGUAAACCUAAUUAUAUUGUUCUAUUAUGCCCCGAGAGAGUAAAUUUGGAACGAAUCGAUGUCAACGUUCACAAGAACCAAAACCGGAACAACAUUAGACUACUCAAUUGCACCCUAAGAGUAUAACUUUGCAAUAAGUACUUUUUCUCAUUCUAUCGAACAAAGAGUUUAAAGCUAAUUAUAUUGUUCUAUUAUGCCCCAAGAGCUGUAAUUUCGAGCUAAUCGAUGCCAACGUUCACAAGAACCAAAACCGGAACAACAUUAGGCUACUCAGUUGCGCCAUAACAGUAUAACUUUGUAAUGAGUACUUUUUCUUAUUCUAUCGAACAAAGAGUAAAACCUAAUUAUAUUGUUCUAAUAUGUCCCGAGAGUGUAAAUUUGGAACGAAUCGAUGUCAACCUUCACAAGAACCAAAAUCCGAACAACAUUAGACUACUCAGUUGCGCCCUAACAGUAUAACUUUGCAAAGAGUACUUUUUCUGAUUCAAUCGAACAAAGUGUAAAAACUAAUUUUUUUAUUCUAUUAUGCCCCAAGAGUGUAAAUUUGGAAAGAAUCGCUGUCAACGCUCACAAGAACCAAAACCCGAACAACAUUAGACAACUCAGUUGCGCCCUAACAUUAUAAAUUUGCAACGAGUGUUUUUUAUCAUUCUAUCGAACAAAGAGUAAAACGUAAUUAUAUUGUUCUAUUAUGUCCUUAGAGUGUAAAUUUGGAACGAAUCGAUGUCAACCUUCACAAGAACCAAAACCGGAACAACAUUAGAUUACUCAAUUACGCCCUAACAGUAUAACGUUGCAACGGGUACUUUUUCUCAUUCUAUCAAACAAAGAGUAAAAGCUAAUUAUAUUGUUCAAUUAUGCCCCGAGAGUUGUAAUUUCGAACGAAUAGAUGUCAACGUUCACAAGAACCAAAACCGGAACAACAUUAGGCAACUAAGUUGCGCCCUAACAGUAUAACUUUGUAAUGAAAACUUUUUCUCAUUCUAUCGAACAAAUAGAAAAACCUAAUUAUAUUGUGCUAUUAUGCCCCGAGAGAGUAAAUUUGGAACGAAUCGAUGUCAAUGUUCACAAGAACCAAAAUCGGAACAACAUUAGACUACUCGGUCGCGCCUUAAUAGUAUAACUUUGCACCGAGUAAUUUUUCUCAUUCUAUCGAACAAAGAGUAAAAGAUAAUUAUAUUGUUCAAUUAUGCCCCGAGAGUUGUAAUUUCGAACAAAUCGAUGUCAACGUUCACGAGAACCAAAACCGGAACAACAUUAGACUACUCAGUUGCGCCCUAACAGUAUAAUUUUGCAAGCAGUACUUUUUCUCAUUCUAUCGAAAAAAGAGUAAAACGUAAUUAUAUUGUUCUACUAUACCUCGAGAGAGUAAAUUUGGAACAAAUCGAUGUCAACGUUCACAAGAACCAAAACCGGAACAACAUUAGAAUACUCAGUUGCGCCCUAACAGUAUAACGUUGCUACGAGUACUUUUUCUCAUUCUAUCGAACAAAGUGUAAAAGCUAAUUAUAUUAUUCAAUUAUGCCCCGAGAGUUGUAAUUUCGAACGAAUCGUUGCCAACAUUUACAAGAACCAAAACCGGAAUAACAUUAGGCUACUCAGUUGCACCCUAAUAGUAUAACUUUGUAAUGAGUCAUUUUUUUCAUUCUAUCGAACCAAGAGUAAAACCUAAUUAUAUUGUUCUAUUUUGUCCCGAGAGUGUAAAUUUGGAACGAGUCGAUGUCAACCUUCGCAAGAACCAAAACCGGAACAACAUUAUACUACUCAGUUGCGUCGUAACAGUAUAACUUUGCGAGGUGUACUUUUUCUCAUUCAAUCGAACAAAGUGUAAAAGCAAUUAUUUUAUUCUAUUAUGUCCCGAGAGUGUAAAUUUGGAACGAAUCGAUGUCAACGCUAACAAGAACCAAAAUCGGAACAACAUUAGACUAUUCAGUUGUGCCCUAACAGUAUAACUUUGUAACGAGUACUUUUUCUCAUUCUAUCGAACAAAGAGUAAAAGCUAAUUAUGUUGUUCAAUUAUUCCACGAGAGUUGUAAUUACGAACGAAUUGAUGUCAACGUUUACAAGAACCAAAACCGGAACAACAUUAGGCUGCUCAGUUUCGCCCAAACAGUAUAACUUUGCAAUAAGUACUUUUUCUCAUCCUAUCGAACAAAGAGUAAAACCUAAUUAUAUUGUUCUAUUAUGCCCUGAGAGCGUAAAUUUGGAACGAAUCGAUGUCAAUGCUCACAAGAACCAAAACCGGAACAACAUUAGACAAUUCAGUUGCGCCGGAACAGUAUAACUUUGCAACGAAUACUUUUUCUCAUUCUAUCGAACAAAGAGUUAAAAUCUAAUUAUAUUGUUCUAUUCCGCCCCGAGAGUUGUAAUUUCGAGCGAAUCGAGGUCAACGUUCACAAGAACCAAAACCGGAACAACAUUAGACUACUCAGUUGCGCCAUAACAGUAUAACUUUGUAAUGAGUACUUUUUCUAAUUCUAUCGAAGAAAGAGUAAAACCUAAUUAUAUUGUUCUAUUAUGUCCCGAGAGUGUAAAUUUGGAACGAAUCGAUGUCAACCAUCACAAGUACCAAAACCGGAACAAUAUUAAACUACACAGUUGCGCCGUAACAGUAUAACUUUGCAAGGUGUACUUUUUCUCAUUCAAUCGAACAAACUAUAAAAGCUAAUUAUUUUAUUCUAUUAUGCCCCGAGAGUGUAAAUUUGGAACGAAUCGAUGUCAACGCUCACAAGAACCAAAACCGGAACAAUAUAAGACUACUCAGUUGCUGGUUUGCACCUCUUUUUGCCACUACUUCGCGCCGAACGAUGUCAAAACUAUUCCAACACCUUUGGAACUUAUUUUUGCUCUGCCAAACUUGUUGGAAUGCCGAUUGGAACUUGUCCAAACCAUUCGAUUGCUCACUUUGGUCUAUUUGGCCAAAGUUAGCCAAAUUCCAUCGAGUUCAAUAUCUCACAGGAACAACAUUAGACUACUCAGUUGCGCCCUAACAGUAUAACGUUGCAACGAAAACUUUUUCUCAUUCUAUCGAACAAAGAGUAAAACCUAAUUAUAUUGUUCAAUUAUGCCCCGAGAGUUGUAAUUUCGAACGAAUCAAUGUCAACGUUCAUAAAAACCAAAACCGGAAAAACAUUAGUCCACACAGUUGCGCCCUAACAAUAUAACUUUGUAAUGAGUACUUUUUCUCAUUCUAUCGAACAGAGAGUAAAACCUAAUUAUAUUGUUCUAUUAUGUCCCGAGAGUGUAAAUUUGGAACGAAUCGAUGUCAACCUUCACAAGAACCAAAAUCGGAACAAUAUUAGACUACUCAGUUGCGCCAUAACAGUAUAACUUUGCAAUAAGUACUUUUUCUCAUUCUAUUGAACAAAGAGUAAAACCUAAUUAUAUUGUAUUAUUAUGCCCCGAGAGAGUAAAUUUGGAACGAAUCGAUGUCAACGUUCACAAAAACCAAAACCGGAACAAUAUUAGAUUACUCAGUUGCGCCUUAAUAGUAUAACUUUGCACCGAGUACUUUUUCUCAUUUUAUCGAACAAAGAGUAAAAGCUAAUUAUAUUGUUCUAUUAUGCCCCGAGAGUUGUAAUUUCUAACGAAUCGAUGUCAACGUUCACAAUAACCACACCGGAACAACAUUAGACUAUUCAGUUGCGCCCUAACAGUAUAACUUUGCAAGGAGUAUUUUUUCUCAUUCUAUCGAACAAAGAGUAUAACCUAAUUAUAUUGUUGUACUAUGCCCCGAGAGAGUAAAUUUGGAACGAAUCGAUGUCAACGUUCACAAGAACCAAAACCGGAACAACAUUAGGCUACUCAGUUGCGCCCUAACUGUAUAACUUUGUAAUAAGUACUUUUUCUCAUUCGAUCGAACAAAGAGUAAAACCUAAUUAUAUUGUUCUAUUAUGUCCCGAUAGUGUAAAUUUGAAACGAAUCGAUGUCAACCCUCACAAGAACCAAAAUCGGAAAAAUAUUAGACUACUCAGUUGCGCCGUAACAGUAUAACUUUGCAAUGAGUACUUUUUCUCAUUCAAUCGAAUAAAAUGUAAAAGCUAAUUAUUUUAUUCUAUUAUGGCCCGAGAGUGUAAAUUUGGAACGAAUCGAUGUCAACACUCACAAGAAUCAAUACCGCAACAACAUUAGACUACUUUGUUCCGCCCUAGCAGUAUAACUUUGCAACGAGUACUUUUUCUCAUUCUAUCGAACAAAGAUUAAAACAUAAUUAUAUUGUUCUAUUAUGUCGCGAGAGUGUAAAUUUGGAACGAAUCGAUGUAAACGUUCACAUGAACCAAAACCGGAACAACAUUAUCCUGCUCAGUUGCGCCCUAACAGUAUAACUUUGCAAUGAGUACUUUUUCUCAUUCUAUCGAACAAAGAGUAAAACCUAAUUAUAUUGUUCUAUUAUGCCCCGAGAGCAUAAAUUUGGAACGAAUCGAUGUCAACGUUCACAAAAAACCAAAACUGGAACAAUAUUAGACUACUCAGUUGCGCCAUAACAAUAUAACUUUGCAACGAGUACUUUAUCUCUUUUUAUCGAACAAAGAGUUAAAAUCUAAUUAUAUUGUUCUAUUAUGCCCCGAGAUUUGUAAUUUCGAGCGAAUCGAUGUCAACGGUCACAUGAACGAAAACCGGAACAACAUUAGACUACUCAGUUGCGCCCUAACAGUAUAACUUUGCAAUGAGUACUUUUUCUUAUUCUAUCGAAUAAAGAGUAAAACCUAAUUAUAUAGUUCUAUUAUUUCCCGAGAGAGUAAAUUUGGAAGGAAUCGUUGUCAACCUUCACAAGAACCAAAACCGGAACAACAUUAGACUACUCAGUUGCGCCCUAGCAGUAUAACUUUCUAAUGAGUACUUUUUCUCAUUCAAUCGAACAAAGUGUAAAAGCUAAUUAUUUUAUUCUAUUAUGCCCCGAGAGUGUAAAUUUGGAACGAAUCGAUGUCAACCUUCACAAGAACCAAGACCGAAACAAUAUUAGACUACUCAGUUGCGCCCUAACAGUAUAACUUUGUAGGGAGUACUUUUUCUCAUUCAAUCGAACAAAGUGUAAAAGCUAAUUAUAUUGUUCAAUUAUGCCCUGAGAGUUUUAAUUUCGAACGAAUCGAUGUCAACGUUCACAAUAACCAAAAUCGGAACAACAUUAGGCUACUUAGUUGCGCCCUAACAGUAUAACUUUGCAACGAGUACUUUUUCUCAUUCUAUCGAACAAGGAGUAAAAGCUAAUUAUAUUAU